This 540-nucleotide ribosomal RNA is filed under the name Cylindrospermum sp. ISB56. RNAcentral describes it as "bacterial SSU rRNA". It matches the Rfam family "Bacterial small subunit ribosomal RNA", at positions 102 to 676 of the family's 1533-position model. Lineage: Bacteria; Bacillati; Cyanobacteriota; Cyanophyceae; Nostocales; Nostocaceae. The record is from RNAcentral.
ACGGGUGAGUAACGCGUGAGAAUCUAGCUUUAGGUUCGGGACAACCAUUGGAAACGGUGGCUAAUACCGGAUGUGCCGAAAGGUAAAAGGCUUGCUGCCUAAAGAUGAGCUCGCGUCUGAUUAGCUAGUUGGUGGGGUAAGAGCCCACCAAGGCGACGAUCAGUAGCUGGUCUGAGAGGAUGAUCAGCCACACUGGGACUGAGACACGGCCCAGACUCCUACGGGAGGCAGCAGUGGGGAAUUUUCCGCAAUGGGCGAAAGCCUGACGGAGCAAUACCGCGUGAGGGAGGAAGGCUCUUGGGUUGUAAACCUCUUUUCUCAAGGAAUAAGUUCUGAAGGUACUUGAGGAAUAAGCAUCGGCUAACUCCGUGCCAGCAGCCGCGGUAAUACGGAGGAUGCAAGCGUUAUCCGGAAUGAUUGGGCGUAAAGCGUCCGCAGGUGGUGAUGUAAGUCUGCUGUCAAAGAAUCAGGCUUAACCUGAUAGAGGCAGUGGAAACUACAUGACUAGAGUGCGUUCGGGGCAGAAGGAAUUCCUGGUGU